AAAAGAAUUGUAGGAUCUACCUCCGUCGCACUGCACCCUUCUGAUAAGUUUUCUCCGCUUGCUUUAUCCUUUCCAAUACCUAAAGUGCCUCUGCAUUUACGCAGCUAGUCACAGCCACUCCGGCUAAAUAAUUCCAGAUUCCUAGAAGGAAAUACUGCCCUAUGGUACAAAAAUUUCAUAAAAUUUUACAUAUACCAGCAAUUACUGUUUGGUCACACUCUUUACUUGUUGCAAAAGGCUGCAGGUCAUAGCCAACGGGUUUCUAUUGUUAACAUGACUAAAGCAAUUUACAAUCGGGAACGAAGACUCCAGAAUGCACUUAUCACCAUACCCACUUGCCAUCUACUCCUGCUCCUUCAAUACAAGAUAUUUACCUAGCUGUUGAAAGAAAAUGUGUGUCCAUCAGCCAAACCAGCUGAUAUAUCAUGCUUCCCAGCAGAUUUUAUCCUAUACUUUCCUGAUGCAUGCCAGAAAGAAACUGUGUUAGCCCACAAAGCUAUAGAAGGCCCAAACUUUAGAUUCGCUCUUUUGCAGUGGACAAACAAAUACCGUUCUGAAGUAACAGAAUGGAACACACAUGUAUCACUGCAUAUCAAAGGUAUACCUCCUCACCUCUUCUUCUACGAUUGCCUAAAGCCCCCCCCCCCUUCCAUACUGCGGUAUCAGGAUAGCUGAUUUUGAUAAAAACACCGGCAUAUGCAAAGUGAAUGCCUACACAGAAAACAUACAUUCCAUCCCUACAAACCAACAAUUAGGCAUUUAUUACCAUCGCCUCGACGGCGUCAGCACGCAUACAUUCCCCAUAACCCUCAACACAACACCGUAUGUUGAACCAGAGCAGAACCCUUCCUCAAAACGGGCGCAGAAUCCUUCAGCACAUGUCGAUCUUAAUGACUACUCAAGCCACUACGACUCAGAUUCCGACCACGAGCCUGCAGAAUGGAAACACAGAUGCUGAACAAGGUGGCAGAGUUCAUCCCUGGCUUCCUUCAUAUGCAUUCGCGGAGAACCACCAUCUUCGAUACUCUUGUCAAGGAACUACAAAUUCAGACGGAGAAAAAAAUAACCAGCGGACUGGAAAACUGACUGACAACCUUCCUGGUACAAGUCAUUCUCAAACAAGCUCAGCCCACGCAGUCGUACCCCUAUGUAAUAUAUGUACAUCGAACAUGGUUUAGUUGAUCCAACCAGACCUUUUGUUGUAAUAUGCUCACUACUAAUUUCCUGCAUCCACAUCUAUUA
Panicum hallii is the source of this 1242-nucleotide long non-coding RNA. RefSeq lists it as uncharacterized. Lineage: Eukaryota; Viridiplantae; Streptophyta; Magnoliopsida; Poales; Poaceae. The transcript has 2 exons. The record is from RefSeq and is a predicted model, not a curated record.